RNAcentral lists this ribosomal RNA (462 nucleotides) under uncultured bacterium. Its description in RNAcentral is "bacterial SSU rRNA". It matches the Rfam family "Bacterial small subunit ribosomal RNA", at positions 330 to 792 of the family's 1533-position model. The record is from RNAcentral.
ACCAGACUCCUACGGGAGGCAGCAGUGGGGAAUAUUGCACAAUGGGGGAAACCCUGAUGCAGCGACGCCGCGUGAGUGAAGAAGUAUUUCGGUACGUAAAGCUCUAUCAGCAGGGAAGAAAAAAAGUCCUUUGGACUUUGGACGGUACCUGACCAAGAAGCCCCGGCUAACUACGUGCCAGCAGCCGCGGUAAUACGUAGGGGGCAAGCGUUAUCCGGAUUUACUGGGUGUAAAGGGAGCGUAGACGGCAGCGCAAGUCUGGAGUGAAAUGCCGGGGCCCAACCCCGGAACUGCUUUGGAAACUGUGCAGCUGGAGUGCAGGAGGGGCAGGCGGAAUUCCUGGUGUAGCGGUGAAAUGCGUAGAUAUCAGGAGGAACACCGGUGGCGAAGGCGGCCUGCUGGACUGCAACUGACGUUGAGGCCCGAAAGCGUGGGGAGCAAACAGGAUUAGAUACCCCAGUA